AGCUUAACACAUGCAAGUCGAGCGGGGAAGGUUGCUUCGGUAACUGACCUAGCGGCGGACGGGUGAGUAAUGCUUAGGAAUCUGCCAUUUAGUGGGGGACAACAUUCCGAAAGGAAUGCUAAUACCGCAUACGUCCUACGGGAGAAAGCAGGGGAUCUUCGGACCUUGCGUUAAUAGAUGAGCCUAAGUCGGAUUAGCUAGUUGGUGGGGUAAAGGCCUACCAAGGCGACGAUCUGUAGCGGGUCUGAGAGGAUGAUCCGCCACACUGGGACUGAGACACGGCCCAGACUCCUACGGGAGGCAGCAGUGGGGAAUAUUGGACAAUGGGGGGAACCCUGAUCCAGCCAUGCCGCGUGUGUGAAGAAGGCCUUAUGGUUGUAAAGCACUUUAAGCGAGGAGGAGGCUACUUUAGUUAAUACCUAGAGAUAGUGGACGUUACUCGCAGAAUAAGCACCGGCUAACUCUGUGCCAGCAGCCGCGGUAAUACAGAGGGUGCAAGCGUUAAUCGGAUUUACUGGGCGUAAAGCGCGCGUAGGCGGCUAAUUAAGUCAAAUGUGAAAUCCCCGAGCUUAACUUGGNGAAUUUGCAUUUCGAUACUGGUUUAGCUCAGAGUGUGGGGAGAGGA
Molecule: ribosomal RNA, 625 nt
Filed under: uncultured bacterium
Lineage: Bacteria
Description: bacterial SSU rRNA
Rfam family: Bacterial small subunit ribosomal RNA
Source: RNAcentral